GUCGAACGCCAUGGUUUCGGCCAUGGAGUGGCGCACGGGUGAGUAACGCGUGGGAACCUGCCCGGCAGUACGGGACAACCGCGGGAAACUGCGGCUAAUACCGUAUACGCCCGAAAGGGGAAAGAAUUUCGCUGUCGGAGGGGCCCGCGUCGGAUUAGGUAGUUGGUGGGGUAACGGCCUACCAAGCCUGCGAUCCGUAGCUGGUCUGAGAGGAUGAUCAGCCACACUGGGACUGAGACACGGCCCAGACUCCUACGGGAGGCAGCAGUGGGGAAUAUUGGACAAUGGGCGAAAGCCUGAUCCAGCAAUGCCGCGUGAGUGAUGAAGGCCUUAGGGUUGUAAAGCUCUUUCGGCGGGGACGAUGAUGACGGUACCCGCAGAAGAAGCCCCGGCUAACUCCGUGCCAGCAGCCGCGGUAAUACGGAGGGGGCUAGCGUUGUUCGGAAUUACUGGGCGUAAAGGGCGCGCAGGCGGCUGCUCAAGUCAGGCGUGAAAGGCCUGGGCUCAACCCGGGAAUUGCGCUUGAGACUGAGCUGGCUUGAGUGCGGGAGAGGAUGGUGGAAUUCCCAGUGUA
RNAcentral lists this ribosomal RNA (574 nucleotides) under uncultured bacterium. RNAcentral describes it as "bacterial SSU rRNA". It matches the Rfam family "Bacterial small subunit ribosomal RNA", at positions 61 to 677 of the family's 1533-position model. The record is from RNAcentral.